This 468-nucleotide ribosomal RNA is filed under the name uncultured bacterium. RNAcentral's name for it is "partial 16S ribosomal RNA". It matches the Rfam family "Bacterial small subunit ribosomal RNA", at positions 28 to 507 of the family's 1533-position model. The record is from RNAcentral.
GACGAACGCUGGCGGCGUGCUUAACACAUGCAAGUCGAACGGAAAGGCCCUGCUUUUGUGGGGUGCUCGAGUGGCGAACGGGUGAGUAACACGUGAGUAACCUGCCCUUGACUUUGGGAUAACUUCAGGAAACUGGGGCUAAUACCGGAUAGGAGCUCCUGCUGCAUGGUGGGGGUUGGAAAGUUUCGGCGGUUGGGGAUGGACUCGCGGCUUAUCAGCUUGUUGGUGGGGUAGUGGCUUACCAAGGCUUUGACGGGUAGCCGGCCUGAGAGGGUGACCGGCCACAUUGGGACUGAGAUACGGCCCAGACUCCUGCGGGAGGCAGCAGUGGGGAAUAUUGCACGAUGGGCGGAAGCCUGAUGCAGCAACGCCGCGUGCGGGAUGACGGCCUUCGGGUUGUAAACCGCUUUCGCCUGUGACGAAGCGUGAGUGACGGUAAUGGGUAAAGAAGCACCGGCUAACUACGUG